Long non-coding RNA from Bos indicus x Bos taurus (hybrid cattle), 345 nucleotides. NCBI's taxonomy places the organism in Eukaryota, Metazoa, Chordata, Mammalia, Artiodactyla, Bovidae. The record is from Ensembl.
CUCAGCUCAAAAAUUAUAAUUGUGACAAUUUGGAACAGCUAAAGAAUGUUCAAGAAUGUCAUCAGAUGGAGGGAACAACAUCAACAAAUAGCCCAUGUCACUGAGAACACUGCUCAGCUGGCUCGUAGAUUCUUUCUUCAACCACACCUUGACAAGAAAGAGGACCUGAAAGCUGAAAGGACCCAUGUCAGCUGAAGUGUACAGCAGCAUGCUUUCUCCAAACUUAUCAAGUUUACUGCACCCUCUCUCCUCUGGCCUGCUACUCAUCCUUUCUUGGUAAGUGCGAUUUUCAGUUUCUUCAAGGUGGGAAUUGUUGCAGCAAGAUAACCAUCGACUAUUUCCUGG